GGCCCAUUAGCUUAGUUGGUUAGAGCGUCGUGCUAAUAACGCAAGGGUCGCGGGAUCGAUCCCCUCAUGGGACG
Molecule: transfer RNA, 74 nt
Filed under: Papilio xuthus (Asian swallowtail)
Lineage: Eukaryota; Metazoa; Arthropoda; Insecta; Lepidoptera; Papilionidae
Rfam family: tRNA
About the family: Transfer RNA (tRNA) molecules are approximately 80 nucleotides in length. Their secondary structure includes four short double-helical elements and three loops (D, anti-codon, and T loops). Further hydrogen bonds mediate the characteristic L-shaped molecular structure. tRNAs have two regions of fundamental functional importance: the anti-codon, which is responsible for specific mRNA codon recognition, and the 3' end, to which the tRNAs corresponding amino acid is attached (by aminoacyl-tRNA synthetases). tRNAs cope with the degeneracy of the genetic code in two manners: having more than one tRNA (with a specific anti-codon) for a particular amino acid; and 'wobble' base-pairing, i.e. permitting non-standard base-pairing at the 3rd anti-codon position.
Source: Rfam by way of RNAcentral